Molecule: transfer RNA, 77 nt
Filed under: Clostridiales bacterium
Lineage: Bacteria; Bacillati; Bacillota; Clostridia; Eubacteriales
Also listed under: 2 other names
Description: tRNA-Met
Rfam family: tRNA
About the family: Transfer RNA (tRNA) molecules are approximately 80 nucleotides in length. Their secondary structure includes four short double-helical elements and three loops (D, anti-codon, and T loops).
Source: RNAcentral
CGCGGAGUGGAGCAGUUGGUAGCUCGUCGGGCUCAUAACCCGGAGGUCGUGUGGUUCAAGUCCCACCUCCGCAACCA